Long non-coding RNA from Xyrauchen texanus (razorback sucker), 4632 nucleotides. RefSeq lists it as uncharacterized. The record is from RefSeq and is a predicted model, not a curated record. Lineage: Eukaryota; Metazoa; Chordata; Actinopteri; Cypriniformes; Catostomidae. The transcript is spliced from 4 exons.
UGGCAGGAGUCGCUUGACUGGAUGUGUUGUGUAUGACUGUGCAAAACACACUCACACACAUACACACACAUUCACCAUCAGUGGAAAGUAAAAGGAGACGCUGCUCUGGAUCAUUCUGUUCGGGAAAGUAGUACAGCAAGGUUCUCUUGCUCAGGAUUUUACUGAAUUCUCAGGAGUUGUUGAGAAAGUCUGGAAGGGUGGUCUAUGAAGUCAGGAGAUUUCAGCAUGACACCAGUGUCAACACAGUGUUCCUCUAGGAAACGAAAGCAUUCAGCACACAGGUGUACUGGCAUUUGAGUAAGUAGCUCUCCAGCAUUUACAACUACUGGAUAAAUAGAACAUUUAGAAUGAAAUUGAAAUCGAUUUUUGUACUAUGCACUUUUAUCCGAAGCAACUUCCAUUUAUCAAUAUUGUGUUUCAGGGAAAUCAAAUCUUUGAUCUUAGUGCUUUUAGUGCCAUGCUCUAGCUGAAAAUGCUAGAAUGUUUGGAUGUUUGUAAUGCUUUUAAUAUUAAUAACUUGUCUGAACGACCAAACUUAUUAAACAUUAUUUUAACAUUGAAGUCAUUUUAUUGUAUGGGGCAUUCAGCUUGGUUAACCCUAACAUUGUAAAAUGUUAGUCUAAUUUAAGAAGUAUGAAUGGCGUACAUUCCCAUAGCCUAAACACUUUCUAGCACUGUACAGUUUUAAAAUGCAAUUUCCCGACUUGGAAUGAUUCCACCAAGACUGCUGAAUCAUGUCUCUGUUGCUCUAUUUGUUCCCUUUUGUCUUGUCAUGUAAACAACUGAAUUUUAUUAAUUAUAUCUGUUUCUUGUUUUUUUUUUUUUUUUGUCUGUAUUGUUCACCCACACUUUGGCUGUUGGCUAAUUUAGCUGAAGAAAUGCGUGUGGCUGCGAUGCACCUUGACCUAUUACAUCCAACUGCCCACCUGUUAAUCUUUAUCACCUUUACUACCAUCUUUAUCACCCACCCACAUAUAUUUCAUUUGCGUGUACAUCAGAAUAGAUUGUUCUGCAACUAUUCCUGUUGAAAGACUAGCAUUGCUGGUCCCCAGCAUGGGAUGCUGGUGUCCCCACCAGGCUUCUUAAAAGGAUAGUUCAGCCAAAAAUGAAAAUUCUCUCAUCGUUUAUGCACCCUCGUGCCACCCCAGACGUGUAUGACUUACUUUCUUCUCCUGAGCACAAACAAAGAUGUUUAGAAGGAUGUCUCAGCUCUGUAGGUCCAUACAGGUCAAUAGGGAACAACAUUUUAAAGCAAAAAAAUUUUAUAAAUCAGCAGCAUAAAAGUACUCUUUAAAGGGAUAGUUCACCUAAAUAUGACAAUUGUAUCAUCAUUUACUCACCUUCAUGUUGUUCCAAAACCUUAUGGCUUUCCUACUUCUGUGGAACACAAAAGUAGAACUAAGGCAGAAUUUUAGCCUCAGUCACCAUUCUCAAAACACCAUUUUUCCAUAUAAUGAAAAUAAAUCGAAAAUAAAACUCAGACUGAAUAUUCUGCCAGACAUCUCAUUUUGUGUUCCAAGGAAGGAAGUAGGAAUGUCUUAGAGGUUUGAAUCAACAUGAGGGUGAGCAAAUGAGUUCAGAAUUUUCAUUUUUGGAUGAAUUAUAACCUAAAUAUUCCCUUACUUAGCUUAACCAGCUGUUGUUUAUGUCAGUUAAUCUGGUCCUUCAACAGGUAUACAUCAACAUACAGUGCUCAGUUUAUUGUCAAACUCUGUGAGUGUGUCUGCACAGUUGAAAUUGUGUGUGUGUCGCGCACGUGUGUGCAUGCGUUUGCAUAUUUCCAUACAGUAGGUUUGUGUAAGUUUGCAUUCUUGAAGGCCUUAUUCUGUCCUCUGGUGCUGAUUGAUAGAAGGUGGAUUUGUAAAGUUCAUUAGCACCACGUUAUCUCAUCCUUUAACGUUACUAUGCUUCCUAAUCAGCACCAGCUCUAAUGAGGCUCGCACUGACGCAGACAGGUGAUGUCACAGCCCCUGAAAUAUUCUAGGUCAGGGCCUUGAUUAAUAAAUAAUAGUUUUAAUCUUGCAAGAUCUGGAUGAAUAUGUUGCAGGUCAGUGAUUUUCCACUGUACAUGGAAGAUAUAUGUCAGCUUAAAGGGAUAGUUCACUCAAAAAUGAAGAUUCUGUCAUCAUUUACUUACCCUCAUGUUGUUUCAACCCCGUUUUAACACAAAAGGAGAUGUUAGGCCUCAGUCGCCAUUCACUUUCAUUACAUUUUUUCCCCUAUAAAACAAAUGUGAAUAGUUAUUCAGGGCUAACAUUUAGCCUAACAUCUCCUUUUUGUUUUCAAAAGAAGAAAGUCAUAGGGGUUUGGAACAUCAUAUGGGUGAGUAAAUGAUGACAGAAUUUUCAUUAUUGGGUGAACUAUCCCUUUAAUACGAGUUGAAAGUUAGGGUCAAGUGUGUGUGUGUGUGUGUGUGUGUGUGUGUGUGUGUGUGUGUGUGUGUGUGUGUGUGUGUGUGUGUGUGUGUGUGUGCACAGUUGAAUGGAAGAGGGUUGCCCGGGAUAAGGGGUGAAGCAGACUUCCUCUCCUCCCCGGUCUCCACGGUAACAGGUCUGGCCGCCACACAUACAGUUACUCAGUGUUUGCGUGUCAAUGGAGUGUGUGACCGGGUCGACAUUUAAGCACUGGGAUGUUUCUCAGCAUUCAAAGCUGAAUGACUUUCAGGAAUAAAAGGAUGAAUUUCUCAUAUGACAAUUUAUUGCUAAGAGGUUGCUCUUCCAUAGCUCGGGAGACUCAGUUGUUACAAUUAAGUAUCAACUUAAUCUCAGUUCUUCGGGAGAAGACAAACAGACACAAAUUAGACAUGCGUUGACAUGCAGUAAGAGAGAAGAGCAAUAAAACUAACAAGGAAUGCAUCCCUGUUAAAACAAAACAAAAAAAAUAAAAAAACUUUUCAACUGGUCAGGCACCUUCAAGUAAAGCUGACACAAUGAACUCUUGGAUUUUGCAUGGUGUUUGUGCAGGUGUAUAUGUUAGUAUGAAAAGUGUACCACUACCAUUGAGAGGACUCUCACUAGGAGCACCAGGUUUCUGAUUUUCUUUCUCAAGAAUGUGUGCUUCCUUUUUCAUUUGUGUGUUUGUGAUUGGGAGGGCUGACAUUGACAAUGUUAAUAAAACCUUCAGUUUUAGAGCGUGAUCUUCAUGUGCAUACUCUUUACCUCUUUUCCAGUGGUGCUGUAUUGGUGGCCCCGGGACAGGUGUGGUUGUAGGUUUGAGGGAUACCUGUACAUCAUUAAAUGCAGCUCUGCAGUGCAGGAAGAGCAGUCAAAGUGGCCUUCACUGUGAACGAGCACUGUCUAGGGUACACUAUCAAAAUUAAGAAUUACAGAAAUGUCUGGCACCUGGUUGUCUAAUUGGAUCUGUUUCAGGAAAACUUCCUUAAAAGGAUAAUCUACCGAAAAGAAAAGAAAAAAAAAACCAUAUAUAUGUCAUUAAUUACUCACCUUCAUGAUGUUCCAAAUCAGUAUCAAUUUUUUCUGUAGAACACAAAAGGGGCAUUUUUGAAAGUGAGAAAAUACAAACCCUUUAAAUAUUUAAAAGAAUAGUUCACCCAAAAAUGAAAAUUCUCUCAUUAACUGUACUCAUCCACAUGUCAUCCCAGAUGUGUAUGACCUUCUUUCUUCUGCUGAACACAAGCAAACAUUUUUAGAAGAAUAUCUCAGCUUUGUAGAUCCAUGCAAUGCAAUCAAUAGGCCCCAUACCUGUGUGCUCUAAAAGCACAAAAAGGCAGCAUAAUAGUAAUCCAAAAAUAUAUAUCUGUCAAUGUCUAUGGUAUUUUUCAGAUUUUUGAUCUUCCAUCGUGUAACAACCGUGACUACAAUCAGUUUGAAAAGAUAUAGCAACCUGAGUCAGAACAGGCUGAAGGACUGUGCCAAAUUUGCUCAAGCCAACAUAAAUAGCUUAAAGGAGCUUUAAUAAGUUUAGCAGGCAGCUAAUGUGGUGCUAUUUUCAUUGUUGUAUGCUCUAAUUCAUUGAUGCGUUCCAUCUAAUUGAACUGACAAAUCAAACUCAUUAUACUUGCCAAAGCUAGGCCUAAAGAGUUAAUAGAUAACGUUAACUGUCACUCCAUGUGAAAAUCAAGGCUGCAUUUUUCUCCUUAUACAACAGUCAGUGCUUGGCGACCAUUAAAUCAGACACCUGCUCACAGAACUAUCUCUUCUCUCCUGCCUGUACAUGGUGCGAUUCUGUACCAAGGUACAAGCAGCAGACAAUAAGGUGUGUAAUAACACACGGUAAGCCGGAUCUGCAUAGGCUUUUCAGCAUUCAGCGCAGACCUUACACAAGCUGGUAAAAGAAGGUAAGAAUGAUAGCAGUGUACUGCAUUCUGCUGCAGGCCAUGAUUGUUCAUAGUAAGAAAUUACAGGAGCAUUUUGUGCAAAAUUGACUCAGAAAACAUCCCUUUAGGAAAAACAUUCUGAGACAUAUUUGAUAAAUAUAGCCAUAGCCAAAAAUUAACAUUCAUGUCACCCUCACGUUACUUAGGUCUGAUUUUCUUCCAUGGAACACAAAAUGAGCGUUUAGAUUGCUCAUUUCCAUAAAAUGAAAGUAAAUGUGGACGUUGCUGUCAAGCUACUAAAAUGACAAAAAAACGCUUAAAAGUCUAUACAACUAAUGCACAUAAAAGUCUUUCAA